AUGCCCCCAAUAUCUACUCAUGGAAACCAAGAGAAAGGUCCCCAUUUGCCACCACCAAGCAAGCAGAGACUGUUGUUUUAUCCAAAAUCAAACUGCACAUCCACAGAGGAGAGAUUUCAAACAUUAUAAGAGGAUGUCAAGAAGAAAGUUUCUGGAAGAGAGCUCUGCCUUUUUCUCCUGUAAGCAUGCUCAUCACCCAGGGACUAGUCUGCCAAGGUUAUUUAGCAGCUAAUCCAAGAUUUGGAUCAUUGCCUGAAGUUACACUUGUUGGUAUAUUGGGAUUGGCCUUGGAAAGGUAUCAUACAUAAGAGUAUGCCAGAGUAAAUUCCAUUUCUUUGAAGAUCAGCUCCAUGGGGCUGAUUUUGGUCCACAGCAGAACAGGCACUGAUUGCUUACCUGUGAAGAAUGCAAAAUAAAGCAUGGAUUCAAUGAGAAGAGAAGUUCACAGCCUUUGGCU
This 457-nucleotide long non-coding RNA is filed under the name Homo sapiens (human). RNAcentral's name for it is "non-protein coding lnc-ZNF704-4:1". Lineage: Eukaryota; Metazoa; Chordata; Mammalia; Primates; Hominidae. The record is from RNAcentral.